UUGGUCUGGUGUUAAUUUCCAGGCCUUCUCCCUCUAACCGGUUUCAGAAAUAAAAACUCUCUUUCUCCCCAGUUCAUCUGGAUCUGGUUAUUGGGCCAUGUGAAAUAGCCCAACCCUUAGUUUGGUCUGAGAACAAAAUUUGACAAGACAGCCAGGAGAGACCGGGACGGUGUGUGUUCAAUGGCCAGUGGCUUCCGAUGAGACAGUCUUCGGGAGGAUCCCGGCAGCUGCUGGGUGGGAUUUUCCCGGAACCCUCCCGAGGGCUGUCUCUUGUUCAAAAUUGCACAUCCUUUUCACUACUGAGGAAGAACGGAGAUCAGGAGCAGAUGCUCUCAAAGGGACCCACAGCUCAAUACUGAACAAUUCCAAAUAGAUACAUAUGAUCCGGACACACAGGAGGUUAUUUCCAAGGGAACAGCUAUCGUGGCGGACUGGAUAAAACCACUAUUGGAGAAAAAAUAAAAUUAGAAGAAAAAGGUUAUAAUGAGAACACUAACAAUUGCCUCAAGAUAAGAUUGACAAAAGGAUCCAAAUCCUUUGACCCAACCCCCUCCUGGGAACUCAAAUUCUUUUACACAAGAAAGGGUAAAAUGGUCUGCGAGUGGAAAUGGAAGUUACUGGGACCAGAACAUAAAAAUGACUAAUAUGGAAGUGUUUAAGAAGCUGCUGGAUUCUAUAGUGCCCAAGAAACAGCUCUCAUCAGACUGACAAAGAGCUACUUGGUUUGUGGAAGGCGUUUCAAGGGAGACUGGACAACAUCUUGUUGGGAAGGCUGUUACUCUGAAGAAGAAUCAAGAGAACCUAUUUUCUUUCUAGCUAUUUACAGCUUAGAAAAGUUGUGACACAAUUGGAGACACUGAUUAUUUUAUCAAGGCUUUGACUGGAAUGGCAUAUAUUCAAAUAUGACCAGAUUGAGGAAUUGAGGUCAAGUUUAUGGAGCCAAUAAAAAUUCCCUUGGAAAGACUGACCUAGUUAGUACCUUUUCUAAAUGGUUCCUUUACAAGGAUUCUUUGUAAAGAAUGUCACUUUCUAUUAAAAAUAGGCCCAGGAACCCCAAAACAUUUGGGGACCUCAAGAAGAGAGGAAUUCGUACAGAUAUUAUAAGCAAAGUCUAAGGGUAAAUCCUUGGGUUGGCUUCUGGCCUUGAGGAUUUUAAAACGUUGAGUCUAAAAUUCCUUAUAAAAGUUCCAGCAAAGCCAGGUUAAAAGGAGUCUAUAUGGCUGAUCACUAUGCUUGCUACACUUUAUGCAAAUAACCAUGGCAAGUACAAUGAGAACAAAAUUUAUUUUGCAAACAAAUUGGUCUUAUUGUUACAGGUAGUCAGGCAUGAGCAGGGCAGGAGAGGGACCCCCCUCCCACUACCCACCAGGAAUGUCAGGUGAUCAUCAGGUGAUGGUUUGGCAUCUAUCACACUUCCUCUCUAAAAAUGAUAAUUGGCAGCCAGCACCAGGGAGAUGCCAUUUUCUGAAGGUGCACAGUUAUGACAAUAAAAUAAUAGAUCGCAGGUUCCAGCGAGAGGCAGUUUCUCUACAGAUAAAAACAUUUGAAAUUGGUAAUUGGCAGCUUAGGAAUUGGGUGAGCACACUCCAGCAUGUGCGUUAAG
Molecule: long non-coding RNA, 1603 nt
Filed under: Homo sapiens (human)
Lineage: Eukaryota; Metazoa; Chordata; Mammalia; Primates; Hominidae
Description: HSALNT0286172
Source: RNAcentral